This 135-nucleotide ribosomal RNA is filed under the name uncultured eukaryote. RNAcentral describes it as "partial 18S ribosomal RNA". It matches the Rfam family "Eukaryotic small subunit ribosomal RNA", at positions 1299 to 1458 of the family's 1831-position model. The record is from RNAcentral.
UGGUGGAGUGAUUUGUCUGGUUAAUUCCGUUAACGAACGAGACCUCCAUCUGUUAAUACGGGUCAUUGACUCGUCAGUGAACUGUACUUACAGAGACUAUCGGAUCAAAGCCGAUGGAAGCUGGAGGCAAUAACA